Haliotis rufescens (red abalone) is the source of this 1952-nucleotide long non-coding RNA. RefSeq lists it as uncharacterized. The record is from RefSeq and is a predicted model, not a curated record. Lineage: Eukaryota; Metazoa; Mollusca; Gastropoda; Lepetellida; Haliotidae. The transcript has 3 exons.
UGUAAAAGGUAUUGUGAAGGCUAGCAUAACAGAGAGUUCUUAUAUGGUAUCGCUAUUCGGCCCAGCAGACGUUUAAGGUUAAUGUCUACAAGUGAUGAUCCAUAUGAAAAUGAACAAAAUUCGCCCUGUUCCGAGUAAUGGAGGCACGAAAAACACCCAGUUUCACCAGCACGUUUUUCAAACUCUAAACUGAUGUAUGCAACGUUUCAGUUGUAAGUUACAACUUAAGCCUGGUGUUCAGACGAAAUAAAUCCGUCUGUUUUCAGCCUCUGCAAUGCCAUUAGGCUUGACCACGCCGGAAGCUGUCGAUGAGCCUCGUUCUGAGUCCUCGAACUCCGUAACGUAGUUACCGUUGCCGUUACCCACGUCCCUUCUGUUUACAACAGAAAAACGAUCGCAUUUGCUCCGCUGACCUCUACGUUUCGCUCACUGCUGUAUCUUUCCAAGUGUGCCUUCUUCCAAGAUGAACACAAGGCUUCACAUUCAGGCUCGGGAGGACAUAAUUCGCUAUUAUGGCACUCCUGCGGCUGUGAGUUUGUGGCCGUCUCAGGAUGAGGAGUCCGACUGUAUGUAGUUUUGAAAAGGGGCACUGAUCUGAAGUAAUUCCCUGGGACUGGUUGUUGCCUUUGUUAUUGUCUUUUACCCAAGAAAAGAAAUUUCUGCUCCAAAAUGUGAAGAAAAAGAACAACAUGACUCAACCUCAAAACAGUCGUUGAGUUUGAAGAAGUUUGAAAAGAAUAAGACAGAUUCAUAGGCAUGCUUGAAACUGGAGCGAUAGAACGUAACGUUGCAAACGUCUUCGGUGUCAAAGUGUGCAGCAGGGCAUGGACUCGGUACCAGACGUUUGGAUCAGCUACACAGUGAGAGCAAGCUGGUCGACAGUGUCCGAGCACACAGCGGGAAGACAGCGAUGAUCACUUCAAUUGAAUAGACGUGGAAUGGGCUCAUGUACAUUUUCGCUGAUGAAUCGAGAUACCGUCUAGACUUCACAGAUUAUGGUCCCCAACUGUGGCGUUGACAAGGAGAGAGAUUUCAGGAUUCCAACAUAGCCAAACAUGACCAGUGUGGAGGGGACUCAAUCAUGGUUUGGGGUGGGAUCAGUGGAGCUGGAAGAAACGAUCUCCAUGUCCUACAGCGGGACACGACAGGUGUGCGCAACAGGCACGACAUUCUGGAUGUGAACGUGAGAGGCCGUAUGCGGGUACAAUCGGACCGGACUUCAUCCUCAUUGACGAUAACGCACGACCCAAACAUGCCAGGGUCGUUGAUGCCAACAUAAAGCAGGAGACCAUGUUUGUCUGCAUGGGAGUGGCCAGCCCGGUGACCUAACCCCACCUUAUCGAACACGUGUUGAACGAUCUGAAGAUCUCCCUCUCACGCCGUCCUUCUCGGCAAUGCUCUCACAGAAGCGUGGAACAGUCUACCUCAGACAACCUUCCGCUUCUGGUUUGGUCAGAUACUCAUUUGGACUGGUGAUCGGAGUGAUUAUUUGGUCACCUGUUGCUUGUUGGCACUGAGCGGCACACAACAGACUUUUGUUCUCAAAACAUGUCUUUACGCAAUAAUGUCUUUGGCCAUUUCAACAGAUGCACACAAUUUGACUCUUGAGUAGUAGAUUUCACAACAACCGUCUUCAGAAACGUGUACGUAUGGAUCAUCAGAUAGUGUAUCUUUUACAAAUCACAAUUUAAAUGUGCAAAUAUCAAUUAUGAACUUUAUCGCGGAAUUGAAAUAUUUCAUACAGCCAAAAAUGUUAGAUUUCUUGAAAGUGUUACGACAUUAUUUAAUAUCCUUUUAUGUGAAAAAUUUAUGAAAAACCACAAGUCCCUGACCACCUGGACAUAUAUGGUUUUCUGGAACAGCUUAUUAAGGUUCUUAUUCAUGGUAAUAAAUAUGCAGAAAAUGCUGUUUUCUAUUGGCUGUUGUUGACUUCAUGCAAGUCAUUUCAUUGG